RNAcentral lists this ribosomal RNA (490 nucleotides) under uncultured bacterium. RNAcentral describes it as "partial 16S ribosomal RNA". It matches the Rfam family "Bacterial small subunit ribosomal RNA", at positions 29 to 505 of the family's 1533-position model. The record is from RNAcentral.
AGUGAACGCUGGCGGUAGGCCUAACACAUGCAAGUCGAACGGCAGCACAGUAAGAGCUUGCUCUUACGGGUGGCGAGUGGCGGACGGGUGAGGAAUACAUCGGAAUCUACUUUUUCGUGGGGGAUAACGUAGGGAAACUUACGCUAAUACCGCAUACGACCUACGGGUGAAAGCAGGGGAUCUUCGGACCUUGCGCGAUUGAAUGAGCCGAUGUCGGAUUAGCUAGUUGGCGGGGUAAAGGCCCACCAAGGCGACGAUCCGUAGCUGGUCUGAGAGGAUGAUCAGCCACACUGGAACUGAGACACGGUCCAGACUCCUACGGGAGGCAGCAGUGGGGAAUAUUGGACAAUGGGCGCAAGCCUGAUCCAGCCAUGCCGCGUGGGUGAAGAAGGCCUUCGGGUUGUAAAGCCCUUUUGUUGGGAAAGAAAAGCAGCAGGUUAAUACCCCGCUGUUCUGACGGUACCCAAAGAAUAAGCACCGGCUAACUUCG